This 2902-nucleotide ribosomal RNA is filed under the name Enterobacter cloacae. RNAcentral describes it as "bacterial LSU rRNA". It matches the Rfam family "Bacterial large subunit ribosomal RNA". The record is from RNAcentral. Lineage: Bacteria; Pseudomonadati; Pseudomonadota; Gammaproteobacteria; Enterobacterales; Enterobacteriaceae.
UUAAGCGACUAAGCGUACACGGUGGAUGCCCUGGCAGUCAGAGGCGAUGAAGGACGUGCUAAUCUGCGAAAAGCGCCGGCGAGGUGAUAUGAACCUUUGACCCGUCGAUGUCCGAAUGGGGAAACCCAGUGUGUUCCGACACACUAUCGUUAACUGAAUACAUAGGUUAACGAGGCGAACCGGGGGAACUGAAACAUCUAAGUACCCCGAGGAAAAGAAAUCAACCGAGAUUCCCCCAGUAGCGGCGAGCGAACGGGGAGCAGCCCGGAGUCUGAAUCAGCUUGUGUGUUAGUGGAACGGUCUGGAAAGUCCGACGGUACAGGGUGAUAGUCCCGUACACGAAAAUGCACAUGCUGUGAACUCGAAGAGUAGGGCGGGACACGUGGUAUCCUGUCUGAAUAUGGGGGGACCAUCCUCCAAGGCUAAAUACUCCUGACUGACCGAUAGUGAACCAGUACCGUGAGGGAAAGGCGAAAAGAACCCCGGCGAGGGGAGUGAAAAAGAACCUGAAACCGUGUACGUACAAGCAGUGGGAGCCUCUUUAUGGGGUGACUGCGUACCUUUUGUAUAAUGGGUCAGCGACUUAUAUUCUGUAGCAAGGUUAACCGUAUAGGGGAGCCGAAGGGAAACCGAGUCUUAACUGGGCGUUAAGUUGCAGGGUAUAGACCCGAAACCCGGUGAUCUAGCCAUGGGCAGGUUGAAGGUUGGGUAACACUAACUGGAGGACCGAACCGACUAAUGUUGAAAAAUUAGCGGAUGACCUGUGGCUGGGGGUGAAAGGCCAAUCAAACCGGGAGAUAGCUGGUUCUCCCCGAAAGCUAUUUAGGUAGCGCCUCGUGAACUCAUCUUCGGGGGUAGAGCACUGUUUCGGCUAGGGGGCCAUCCCGGCUUACCAACCCGAUGCAAACUACGAAUACCGAAGAAUGUUAUCACGGGAGACACACGGCGGGUGCUAACGUCCGUCGUGAAGAGGGAAACAACCCAGACCGCCAGCUAAGGUCCCAAAGUCAUGGUUAAGUGGGAAACGAUGUGGGAAGGCACAGACAGCCAGGAUGUUGGCUUAGAAGCAGCCAUCAUUUAAAGAAAGCGUAAUAGCUCACUGGUCGAGUCGGCCUGCGCGGAAGAUGUAACGGGGCUAAACCAUGCACCGAAGCUGCGGCAGCGACACUAUGUGUUGUUGGGUAGGGGAGCGUUCUGUAAGCCGUUGAAGGUGUGCUGUGAGGCAUGCUGGAGGUAUCAGAAGUGCGAAUGCUGACAUAAGUAACGAUAAAGCGGGUGAAAAGCCCGCUCGCCGGAAGACCAAGGGUUCCUGUCCAACGUUAAUCGGGGCAGGGUGAGUCGACCCCUAAGGCGAGGCCGAAAGGCGUAGUCGAUGGGAAACAGGUUAAUAUUCCUGUACUUGGUGUUACUGCGAAGGGGGGACGGAGAAGGCUAUGUCAGCCGGGCGACGGUUGUCCCGGUUUAAGCAUGUAGGCGGAGGUUCCAGGUAAAUCCGGUACCUUUUAACGCUGAGGUGUGAUGACGAGGCACUACGGUGCUGAAGUGAUAAAUGCCCUGCUUCCAGGAAAAGCCUCUAAGCAUCAGGUAACACGAAAUCGUACCCCAAACCGACACAGGUGGUCAGGUAGAGAAUACCAAGGCGCUUGAGAGAACUCGGGUGAAGGAACUAGGCAAAAUGGUGCCGUAACUUCGGGAGAAGGCACGCUGAUAUGUAGGUGAAGCCCCUGCGGGCGGAGCUGAAAUCAGUCGAAGAUACCAGCUGGCUGCAACUGUUUAUUAAAAACACAGCACUGUGCAAACACGAAAGUGGACGUAUACGGUGUGACGCCUGCCCGGUGCCGGAAGGUUAAUUGAUGGGGUUAGCGGCAACGCGAAGCUCUUGAUCGAAGCCCCGGUAAACGGCGGCCGUAACUAUAACGGUCCUAAGGUAGCGAAAUUCCUUGUCGGGUAAGUUCCGACCUGCACGAAUGGCGUAAUGAUGGCCAGGCUGUCUCCACCCGAGACUCAGUGAAAUUGAACUCGCUGUGAAGAUGCAGUGUACCCGCGGCAAGACGGAAAGACCCCGUGAACCUUUACUAUAGCUUGACACUGAACACUGGUCCUUGAUGUGUAGGAUAGGUGGGAGGCUUUGAAGCGUGGACGCCAGUCUGCGUGGAGCCGCCCUUGAAAUACCACCCUUUAAUGGCUGGUGUUCUAACGUAGACCCGUGAUCCGGGUUGCGGACAGUGUCUGGUGGGUAGUUUGACUGGGGCGGUCUCCUCCCAAAGAGUAACGGAGGAGCACGAAGGUUGGCUAAUCCUGGUCGGACAUCAGGAGGUUAGUGCAAUGGCAUAAGCCAGCUUGACUGCGAGCGUGACGGCGCGAGCAGGUGCGAAAGCAGGUCAUAGUGAUCCGGUGGUUCUGAAUGGAAGGGCCAUCGCUCAACGGAUAAAAGGUACUCCGGGGAUAACAGGCUGAUACCGCCCAAGAGUUCAUAUCGACGGCGGUGUUUGGCACCUCGAUGUCGGCUCAUCACAUCCUGGGGCUGAAGUAGGUCCCAAGGGUAUGGCUGUUCGCCAUUUAAAGUGGUACGCGAGCUGGGUUUAGAACGUCGUGAGACAGUUCGGUCCCUAUCUGCCGUGGGCGCUGGAGAAUUGAGGGGGGCUGCUCCUAGUACGAGAGGACCGGAGUGGACGCAUCACUGGUGUUCGGGUUGUCAUGCCAAUGGCACUGCCCGGUAGCUAAAUGCGGAAGAGAUAAGUGCUGAAAGCAUCUAAGCACGAAACUUGCCCCGAGAUGAGUUCUCCCUGAGACUUUAAGUCUCCUGAAGGAACGUUGAAGACGACGACGUUGAUAGGUCGGGUGUGUAAGCGCAGCGAUGCGUUGAGCUAACCGAUACUAAUGAACCGUGAGGCUUAACCUU